Molecule: ribosomal RNA, 428 nt
Filed under: uncultured bacterium
Lineage: Bacteria
Description: partial 16S ribosomal RNA
Rfam family: Bacterial small subunit ribosomal RNA
Source: RNAcentral
GUGGGGAAUAUUGGGCAAUGGGCGCAAGCCUGACCCAGCAACGCCGCGUGAAGGAAGAAGGCUUUCGGGUUGUAAACUUCUUUUACCAGGGACGAAAAAAAUGACGGUACCUGGAGAAUAAGCCACGGCUAACUACGUGCCAGCAGCCGCGGUAAUACGUAGGUGGCAAGCGUUGUCCGGAUUUACUGGGUGUAAAGGGCGCGUAGGCGGGAGAGCAAGUCAGGAGUGAAAUCUAUGGGCUUAACCCAUAAAUUGCUUUUGAAACUGUUUUUCUUGAGUGAUGGAGAGGCAAGCGGAAUUCCUAGUGUAGCGGUGAAAUGCGUAGAUAUUAGGAGGAACACCAGUGGCGAAGGCGGCUUGCUGGACAUUAACUGACGCUGAUGCGCGAAAGCGUGGGGAGCAAACAGGAUUAGAAACCCGGGUAGUCC